UGGCAAUGAUUACAUUUUAUCCGCGCUUCUGAGGUUUUUCUCGAUGAAGCAUAAAUGGAAAAUUAUUGGUUGAAUUUCUUGAUAUGAGCCA
This is a small nucleolar RNA of Arachis duranensis, 91 nucleotides long. NCBI's taxonomy places the organism in Eukaryota, Viridiplantae, Streptophyta, Magnoliopsida, Fabales, Fabaceae. The record is from RefSeq and is a predicted model, not a curated record.